Molecule: long non-coding RNA, 2614 nt
Organism: Sapajus apella (tufted capuchin)
Lineage: Eukaryota; Metazoa; Chordata; Mammalia; Primates; Cebidae
Exons: 2
Source: RefSeq, a predicted model, not a curated record
AAGUGAAAUAAAAUAUUUUAAUGGUGUUUUUUUCCCUUUUCAGUUUUGUUUUGCUUUUAAUGGAAACAGCUCUCUUUAUUCACACUCUCACAAAAUAAACAGUACAGUUUGUAAGGUCGUGAAAGACUUUCAAAACAAAAUAAGAAAGCUGACUGCCAGAUUAUAAAGUUUGGGAAUUCUGAAUGGAAAAUUAUUUAUCAUUUGCUAGUGAGGUAGGCCACUUUUGACUGAUUGUGCUACUUUAUAUUAAUUUCAAAUUAAUCGAGACCUUUGGGAAGGAAGAGGUGGCUUGCAUAGUCAUGUGACAUUGAUAUUUCAGUUUUUAGGCUAGGAAAGACUUAAUGAUUGUAAAUACUGGACAUAUCAAUGGGACAAAUCUCGUAUUUUCUAGAGUUUGAAGAGCAUAAUUCAAACAUCAAAUUAUAGAAUUGUUGUUCAAAAUCUGUAAUAUUUCAUUUAGUGAUCCCUGUGUUUCAGUUACCUAAAUUUUUGAUUCGAUAUUCUUAAUGGGGAAAAAGUGUGAUUCUUACCUUAACUGCACAUGAAAAUCACGUGGGGAACUUUAAAAACAAGUCCAUUAUCCAGAUUGUACCCCAAGGUAAUUCAGUCAGUCUCAGGGGGUAUAGUGUUAAAGGGUCCCAGGUGAUCUCAGUGUAUAGCCAAGGCUGAGAACCACUGUUCUAAAGAGAAGGUAAAGCAAAAUGGCUUGUUUUCACCUAGGCAAAAUGAAAGUAUUUGCAAUAACAAGUGAGAUUAGUGAGUAACUAAGCUGGCAUUCCAUGUGCAGAAAAAGGUAAUAGGGGUACUCUAAGGAACCAAACACACAAUAUUAUAGAGUUUGUGCAGUCAAUACAGUGGAGACGCUAGUGGAUAUUUAUUUAAACUUCUAAAACAUACAUAGGUGAUAUGCUGGAGGCUUUUAAAUUAUAUUCACAGUAAUGUCAUUUAUUCAUUAUAAAACUAUAGAUAACUCACCACAUCCGCAACAGAAAAUAUAUGUUGAAUGCUGAGGGUAAGCAUGUGUGUUGCUUUCCAUUCCAGAAUGAUCUAGGAAGAAGAAUACUGUGAAAUCUCCAAGUUGGGGCUGACACUAAGUAAUUCCUAAUUGAACAGUAUAGUUCACAAAGGUCCCACAAGACCGUUUGUGGGCAAACUGUUUCCUCAGUGUAUGUAGUAAUAAUGCAUACAGGUUUUCCAAAAGUAAACUUUAGUUCUAACAUAAUUGUCUUAUUAAAUAAAGUAAUUAAAAUGACAAUUUAAGUUUUGAUGUUCCAAAAUUAUUACAUUAGGUGGACAGUAAGGAAAAACUUCCAUAUUCCUCAAAUUUUAUUAAAAAGGUAUGUAGUUGGUUUGCUUUUGGGAGCCUUUUACUUUGUACAGCGUUACUGAUGCUCUGCUUUUUGAAAUUUUUAUUAUAACACUUUGUAGAUGUCGUGGUUUCAGUAUUUUCAUCUUGCAACCUUCAAAUGUGAUGGAUUAGUGAUGGAUUUUUAUAAUGAAAAUGUUAUGGGGCAAAGAGCCUGAAAUUUUAAAGGCUGUCUUUGUGAAACUAUAGCCGAGAGAGAGGCUUUCCUAUGGAAGCUGUGGUUUCUAGUGAAGCCUCUGGUCACUGUCCCACCUUCUGUGGCAGGGAGGGAUCCAAGGGAUAAAUCUCCCGUCUUCUUUCUCUUCUUUCCUCGGAUUAUGUGAUGACAUUUCACCAAAAGGGAAACCAAAAGGGAAUCUGAAAAGGAAAAAUGUCUACUGUUAACUGUUUCUUAGCCUCCCAAGGCACAGAGCAGAGAAUAGAGAAGAGCGUGAAUUUGAGGACCAAGGGAGAGUAUCCAGACGUGGGAUGUUGUGUCUGAUUUAGUUUGAGAAUCACUAUUCCAAAGGACAGCAGUAAUGUCUUCAUUUUUUGCCUCUCUCUGCAGAUAUAUCCUUCCUGUAGCCUCGCUAAAGCUUGCUCUGAAUUAGUGUUUGGACAGCAGGCUGAGUUGCCGUUAUUUUUUUCAUAAUUCUUUUGAAUUGGAGCCUCUGUUUUCUAAUCUGCCACCUUUGUAGGAAAUAGUGUGUGAUAAAUUUUCUGAUUCUAUGCAGUUCUAAAAUUUUCCUCAUUUUAAUGGGGAAAUUGGCUAGGCAUAGAAUUCCAGGUUGAAAUCAUUCUCCCUCAGAAUUUUGAAGAUACUACUCCACUAUCUUCUAGCUUCUAGUGUUGCCAAUGAAAAACAUGCAGUCUGGUUUUGUUCAUUUUAAAAUAAGUUUUGUUUUGAAUGGACACAUAACAAUACAUAUUUAUGGGACACAUUAUGAUGUUUCAAUAUAUAUGCACAGUGUGUAGUGAUCGAAUCAGAACAAUUAGCAUAUCGAUAACCUGAAACUCUUGUUAUUUCUUUGUGGUGAGAAAAUUAAAAAUCCUCUCUUCUAGCUAUUUUGAAAUAUAUAAUACAUUAUUGUUGACUAUGGCAAAAGUGGACAAAUAGGAUUACAUCAGAUUAAAAAGCUUCUCCACAGCAAACAAAAAAACAGAGUGAAGAGACAACUUACAGCAUGGGAGAAAUUAUUCACAAACUAUGCAGCUGACAAUGGUUUAAUAUCCCGAAUAUGCAAGGAACUCCAACAAUUCAAUAACAAC